CAGUCGCCGCGGGAAUACAGAGGGUGCGAGCGUUAAUCGGAUUUACUAGGCGUAAAGCGUGCGUAGGCGGCUUCUUAAGUCGGAUGUGAAAUCCCUGAGCUUAACUUAGGAAUUGCAUUCGAUACUGGGAAGCUAGAGUAUGGGAGAGGAUGGUAGAAUUCCAGGUGUAGCGGUGAAAUGCGUAGAGAUCUGGAGGAAUACCGAUGGCGAAGGCAGCCAUCUGGCCUAAUACUGACGCUGAGGUACGAAAGCAUGGGGAGCAAACAGGAUUAGAUACCCCAGUAGUCCCUGUCUCUUAUAC
RNAcentral lists this ribosomal RNA (301 nucleotides) under uncultured bacterium. Its description in RNAcentral is "partial 16S ribosomal RNA". It matches the Rfam family "Bacterial small subunit ribosomal RNA", at positions 509 to 807 of the family's 1533-position model. The record is from RNAcentral.